Molecule: ribosomal RNA, 555 nt
Filed under: Triticum aestivum (bread wheat)
Lineage: Eukaryota; Viridiplantae; Streptophyta; Magnoliopsida; Poales; Poaceae
Description: partial small subunit ribosomal RNA
Source: RNAcentral
AUGAGAGCUGAGGUGUUCAGGAAUCUGCUGCACUUUGCGUACACCGACGAGCUUCCGCCGGAGACAAUAGAGGAUGGUGCUGCGAUGGCUCGGGAUCUCUUGAAGGCCGCUGACAGGUACGACAUGGAGAGGCUCAAGCUGGUCUGCGAGGACAGAUUGUGGAGUCACAUCGAUGCAAGCACGGCGGCGACCACGCUGCUGCUGGCUGAGCAACAUCGCUGUCACCGUCUCAGGGAGGCAUGCUUCGAGUUUCUCCUCACGUCCUCGACCACACUAAAUGCAGUCAUGGCAACCGACGGCUUUGGCCAUCUGUGUAAAAGCAACCCCGGUCUAUUGAAGGAUAUAUUGUCCAAGCUCGCAACCCACCGAGAUCGCCGGCGAAGAAUUCGACAAUGGGAGGAAGACGACAACCACGGGUUCAUCCUCAGGACAACCGAAGGGGAUAAACUACCUGAACCGACUCCCACAUGCAUCUUGGUGGCUCUAGGAGCAUUGAAACGCACACGUCUUCAAGCGAGACACCUGAUCGUCGAACCCCUUUUCAUCCCGACCUGA